GUUUGGGGGAGCUUUUUAGCUCCUCCGCUUAUAAGAACCAACCCUUUUGGUGUUUGGUAAAUUGGUGGGAGGCUGGGAGCCUGCUGCUUCCAAAAGUAGCGGCUUUUUCCUUUGAAAAGCAUAAGUCAGGGCGUCAGGCUUGGCCUCCUUUCAGAAGCAGAAGAAGCAGAAGCCGCGGUAUUCAUUGUAGCGGUGAUCACUGUAAAUUAAUUCAAAAUACCAACUUCUAUCCUCUCUUCCUUAAAGAAAUUAUGCACAGACACUUCUCUUCUCCUCCCUCAACUCUCUCUCUCUCCCCUUCUGGAUCACUGGCAGCACUAACUACGGAUUCCUGACGACACAACCUAGCCGUAGCUCGCUCUGCCGAACCAAUCGACCCCGAAUCGAAAUCCGGAGGUAACGUUUUCUGGUGUGAAUUUCCUGAUCGUAUUCAGAGCCUGAGGGCUGCUGCCUGAGGCGGCUGUAUAUUCGUAUUGCUUCGUCUAUGUUUCUGGAAUUGGGGGAUGUGGGAGAAUGGCUGUGUAGGGAGGUUAUGCUUUAGCUCCAAUAUCAUGUCAAAUAUUCUUAUUAGAUAUUCUAGGUUCGGGUUAUGGAUAUUUUAUUAG
Molecule: long non-coding RNA, 605 nt
Filed under: Rosa chinensis
Lineage: Eukaryota; Viridiplantae; Streptophyta; Magnoliopsida; Rosales; Rosaceae
Description: sRNA RchiOBHm_Chr7g0214151
Source: RNAcentral